GGGCAUGUGGUCUAGAGGUAUGAUUCUCGCUUAGGGCCAUACAUUUUAUUAUAGCACUAGUAUGCGGGAGGUCCUGGGUUCGAUUCCCAGCUUGCCCC
Molecule: non-coding RNA, 98 nt
Organism: Scheffersomyces coipomensis
Lineage: Eukaryota; Fungi; Ascomycota; Pichiomycetes; Serinales; Debaryomycetaceae
Source: the annotation of a RefSeq genome assembly